UAACACCUGGAAACAGAUGCUAAUACCGGAUAACAACAGAUGAUGCCUAUCAACUGUUUAAAAGAUGGUUCUGCUAUCACUCUUGGAUGGACCUGCGGUGCAUUAGCUAGUUGGUAGGGUAACGGCCUACCAAGGCGAUGAUGCAUAGCCGAGUUGAGAGACUGAUCGGCCACAUUGGGACUGAGACACGGCCCAAACUCCUACGGGAGGCAGCAGGC
RNAcentral lists this ribosomal RNA (218 nucleotides) under uncultured Lactobacillus sp. Its description in RNAcentral is "partial 16S ribosomal RNA". It matches the Rfam family "Bacterial small subunit ribosomal RNA", at positions 144 to 354 of the family's 1533-position model. The record is from RNAcentral. Lineage: Bacteria; Bacillati; Bacillota; Bacilli; Lactobacillales; Lactobacillaceae.